ACUAUGAUCCUAUGGAUCCUCUAUACGCACACGUUCGGACGGCCGAACCGCUAGCGU
This 57-nucleotide non-coding RNA is filed under the name unclassified sequences. Its description in RNAcentral is "MDR-NUDIX RNA". It matches the Rfam family "MDR-NUDIX RNA". The record is from RNAcentral.